Molecule: long non-coding RNA, 494 nt
Organism: Teleopsis dalmanni
Lineage: Eukaryota; Metazoa; Arthropoda; Insecta; Diptera; Diopsidae
Exons: 2
Source: RefSeq, a predicted model, not a curated record
AUUAUUUCAGUUCGUGUCACUUUUUUACAUAAAAUUUUUAUUUGUGCAAUAUGUGAAUUAAAAAGAGAUAGAAAGCGAUUUUUGUUGCAAAAGCUAGAAGCAGAACGAAGCUGCCAGUGCAGUAGUUAUUCCGAUUUUAUAGUUAAAAGUGAGUUGACACAUAAAUAAAUUUAGACGGCGAGUUCAGUGUUCUAAACACCGAAUCUCAACGAGCCAACCGUCUCUAAAUUAAUUUAGUGAACUCAAAAUAUUGGCUUCAAUUCGCAAUAAAAUAAAUCGUGAAGCAGAACAUUUAUGAAAAAUAGCCUUGGAUUGUGCUACCGAGUCUAACUGCCCACACAAGAACCCACUUUAUUUUGUCACGAAAUGGCAUGUUUAAACACUUUAAAGUUAGAAAUAAAAACUCUGGAAAAAAUAUUUACUAAAAGUCAUGAGCGCUUCCAAAUUCUUAACUCGAGUGUGGACGAACUGACCUGUCGGUUUAUUGGGAGAAA